ACCUUGAACCUAAAUUCCUUGUUUCCGGUUGACCAUUGCUAAUUAAGGCCGUGUCGCUUAAGGCUCUACCACAGCACACCUGAUCUACGCAUGUCGCCGUGCGCAUCUGUGUUUUAACCUCAAGAGGAUUUAGAUUCCAAGCCUAUUUUAAUUUUUGGAUCUCGUUUAUUAUCUUACAGAGGAGCAAUGUGCUGAAAUAUAAGACUUGUGUGCCUACAACUUGGUGUAAAGGGGAUCGCUAAUGCAAUCAUAAACUUGGUGGCUGAGAUAAAGCGGCUGAGGAGAACAGAGGCUUGUGAGUGGAAUAGGUUGGUGGAACUUGUGUACAGCCCUUUCUAUGUUCAACAAAUGUCUCAGGUGGAAGUACAUUUAGUACAGUUUCCAUAGAGAUCCAGCUUUAUUCAAGGCUCAUCUUAAAGAGAAUGAUGUGGCUGCUGGGACAUAACUUAAGUCUACAUUCAACUGCUUGCAGAUCUCAAGAAGCCUGGGGUUCUCGUGCAGCACCGCAAGCACUCAGGCUGAUUGGGAAGUUAAUUUCUGGUCCUUUGAUAAAGAUCAUUUACAAGAAUGCAAUGUGGCAAUCAAAUGUAGAUCUACUCUGUUUCUUAAAGUCAUGGAAGCGUUGACAGUUGACUUCUACUGAGCCUUUCUUGGUGCGACAGCUGGAGAGGUAUCUGACGGGAAAUCUGAUUGGUGUCCAGCUGACUCAUAAGUGGAAGCUAGGUGAUCAGGGUGUGUCGCAAUACAGUGGAAGGACUAUCAAAAGGGUGCCAGAAACAAAACAAAAGUCAGCUCUUUACACCAUAAGCUACUGGGCAGAGGAUGAGGAUAAUUCUGAGGAUUUCAGUUAUCUGGCAGAAUCACUGGUUGUUGACUUUGUAGGAAUCUUGUUUUUCUUUCUGAAUAAUAGCUUAUCAGAAUUUCAGAGUACUUCUUUCAUUUUUAGUAUACAAAUGAACUUUAUUUUUUAAACAUUAGUGUUUUAGUAAAUUGUUACUGAAAAAAUGAUUGCUCUGAAUUGUAAAUUUAUUUUGAAAACUAAUACUAACGUUUAUAA
Long non-coding RNA from Physella acuta, 1057 nucleotides. RefSeq lists it as uncharacterized. Lineage: Eukaryota; Metazoa; Mollusca; Gastropoda; Physidae. The record is from RefSeq and is a predicted model, not a curated record.